GAUGAACGCUGGCGGCGUGCCUAAUUCAUGCAAGUCGAGCGAACAGACGAGGAGCUUGCUCCUCUGACGUUAGCGGCGGACGGGUGAGUAACACGUGGAUAACCUACCUAUAAGACUGGGAUAACUUCGGGAAACCGGAGCUAAUACCGGAUAACAUGUUGAACCGCAUGGUUCAACAGUGAAAGACGGUCUUGCUGUCACUUAUAGAUGGAUCCGCGCCGCAUUAGCUAGUUGGUAAGGUAACGGCUUACCAAGGCAACGAUGCGUAGCCGACCUGAGAGGGUGAUCGGCCACACUGGAACUGAGACACGGUCCAGACUCCUACGGGAGGCAGCAGUAGGGAAUCUUCCGCAAAGGGCGAAAGCCUGACGGAGCAACGCCGCGUGAGUGAAGAAGGUCUUCGGAUCGUAAAACUCUGUUAUUAGGGAAGAACAAAUGUGUAAGUAACUAUGCACGUCUUGACGGUACCUAAUCAGAAAGCCACGGCUAACUACGUG
This 497-nucleotide ribosomal RNA is filed under the name uncultured bacterium. Its description in RNAcentral is "partial 16S ribosomal RNA". It matches the Rfam family "Bacterial small subunit ribosomal RNA", at positions 28 to 507 of the family's 1533-position model. The record is from RNAcentral.